CCCCGCAAACGAAGUUUAGGGGGGGUAUAUUGGAAUCACCAUGUCCGUCUGUCUGUCCGUCUGUCUGUCUGUUCUUACGAGAGGUACAUUGUGGGGUAAAAUUAACGUAUUUUCCAGCAGUGUGGGGUUUUUUGGGUACUGUGGGGUUAACCCCAUAAUGAAGAGGUCUAAUUACGUUCAAAAUUACUCUAUGAGGUCGAAAAACCUAAAAUUAGAUUUAACCUCACAAAGACUUUGUCCAAAUUUUGGACAUGUCCUUAGCCCAAAACGCUCAGACAUUCAGAAAUCUGCUGUUUAGAGGAGUUCGGUAAUUGAAUCGAGGAGUUCCGAAUACCUGAGCAUGCGCAUAUAUUUAAAACUAACUGCGCAUGCGCAGAAUACGGAAGUAGCUGUGUGGACAUUUUGUAUUAGCAGUGAGGAAAUUCGGAAACACAAAAAGCAAAUGCAAGUUCAGAUACUGAAAGUGAACAUCAGUGGAACUUUGAUGAUCUAGGCCGCUCUAUUUUUGCAGCAACACCAGCAGGCGUCGGACAUUCAUAAAGUUGAAAGAACAGACCUAUGACUUGAACACACAAUUUGUGAUCUGAAUAUAGUUCACAAAUUUAAGGAAAGCAACUAUCAAAGACAUCCAGAUUGAUGGUAUACAUGAAGUAUGAAUGAAAGACUUUUCAGAAGAACAAGCACAAUCCCGAUUCAUUCUUGCCAUUGUCUGCUCCAGACGGCGACAUUUAGGACCUGACUUACUUUUCAGAAAAAGAAGAUGAAUCGAUUUUUGAUAGUUGAUCUUAAAAAGAUAACAUUUUCAGGGGUCGUGGAUUGAAUGACAUUUUCUUGCAAUCUCCCAUGCAGAGUUGUCGUUCGUUCCUCUCUCAGACACAUGCAGAGUUGUCGUUCGUUCCUCUCUCAGACACCUCUGCAAUGGGCUCACGUCAAGAUUUUUGACAUAACGUAUAAAACUUGAUAUUUGAAGAAUUGUUUCAAUUCAAAUCAAUAGUUCUGGAUUGAUUUAGUAAAUAUCUAUCUCAAAAUUCAGACAUAAACAUAGAAAUUGAAUUGUAAUGAAUUAAAACAAACGCACUAUUUCUCAUGUUUAAAACUGUGUAUACGCGAGCCAACGACAGAGGUGAAUGUAUGAGCCGAUGGUAGAGAGUGAUUUUCUUGAUGGGCAACUAGUUUCAAGUAUUUGGAUGUCUAUUCUCAAGUUACUGCAAACCUUAAAUUAACUUCUUGAUUAUUAGUUAAAUGUGAGACCGUUUCUUACUUGAAGUAAUCAUUUUUUGAAUUGAGCUAUGUAAUCUCUGAUUACUUAUGUUUAUGAAUACUGUUCAGCUUUAAGACAAAAGGAUCUUUUAUGAACAUUGCAUUCGUCAUGGUGAAUUUCUAUACAUUAAGUAACAGUCAUAGUUUUCGUCUUUUUUAAUUAGCGAUCUCAUUUUAAAUGUGAGAAAUAAUUAUUAAACUGAAAUGUUUAUUUAUGUUGUUUGAUUUUUAUUUUUUUGAAAAUUGUAAAUCAAUUGCAUGUUGUUGUUUUUUUUUCAUUUUAUUUUAGGGGAUGGGAGUGAGGGUGCAGCUGUUAAGUUUGAGUAUAUUUUCCAAAAGGAUGUACAUCGUUAUUUUUGUUUAAAUAUCAAUUUUAAAAUGCAAAAUGAUGAGAUAUUAGACUACACAUUUUUUCUUAAAACUUCAUUUAAAUUAAUAUAUUUUGUUUAAAAUAAGUAGCAACACCAUGCAAGUUUUAGAGUUAUUUGACAACUCACUAUAUACUUGUUUUUUUUUUACAUUUAUGAAGAUUGUCUCAAAUUUUGAGGGUUUUUUUCUGUGUUCUACAUUUAUUGACAUGUUUCUUAUCUGUGUUCAUCUU
This is a long non-coding RNA of Saccostrea cuccullata (small rock oyster), 1861 nucleotides long. RefSeq lists it as uncharacterized. NCBI's taxonomy places the organism in Eukaryota, Metazoa, Mollusca, Bivalvia, Ostreida, Ostreidae. The record is from RefSeq and is a predicted model, not a curated record. The transcript has 3 exons.